AUACAACGCUCGCACGCGGAAAAGCUUUCGCAUAUGCUUCUAGGAAAAUACCAAUUUAUAAUAAUCAUAUUACAAGUUAUGGAUGAUCACCGGCGCCGUGGAGAGGAAUGGACGCGCGUCUGGCCAUAUAGCAGCUCCGGUUAGCGGAUAGCCCGCAGCUCGCGACCAAACAGACAAAGAGGGUGCUGAAGAUGCUGAAGUGAGACAGUGGAUGCUGAGGUCAGAUGCUCUGAAUCAGUAUACCAAUACAGAAUGCACAUGAAUGAAAUGAUAUAAAGCUGGAGAAUGUGGAUUCUAUUUUAGAUUGUGAUAGACCAGAUAUAUUUUAUAAAGUAAUGCAGUUUGCUAGAGCACACAGGGCCUGAGUUAUCUACUUUCAAAGAAAGUGUUUAGAACACACAAAAAAAGCGCCUUGUAUUGAGGUGGUUCAUCAUGUGAAAAACAACACAAAUAAUAAUAUUUGUCACAAACAGCAGCUUUUUAUGUCACUUCAAAGGGUUUUCUGUAAAAGGAUAUAAAGAUAUUGCAUCUAUUCUACUAUAUGUGGGUAUUUGGAGUCUUCAAAUGUGGGUAGUCGGAAAAUGUAUACAAAAAGGGUAUUAUUCCUCCCUUUAGAUGGAAUAGAAUAACUUUUGCAUAGAUUAUGAUAGAAACAAAUUUCCUUUUUCCUCUAUUAGCUGACAUGUGCUGGAAACAAAUACAAUUGUUUGCAGGAUGCUGGACCUCUCAGAACCUGAGCUAUACAAUUUCAAACUUCAGUUUAUAAAAAAAAAAAUCAAAAAGCGCCUUUUUUUUUCCCCAUUUAUUAUAACACAGACAACAUAUUAAACCAUUUUUAUCAGUUUCAACACUGUUUUAUGUAAUUUCAAAGGAUUUCCUGUAAAAUGAUACCAAACUUUUGUAUGUACACCUCUGCAUGUGGGUAUGGGAAGCUUUUGAAUUUGGGUAGGAAAAAUGCCAGGCGGAAAUCCCCAAAAUAGCCCUGUGCUUAAGAGGUUAAUUUCUCAACAAUUAUUGUAUUGCAUUGCAUUAUAUGUUUUGCCCAACAAUAAAUAACUACAGAGCUUUGAUAAUAAAACUAAGCAUUUAAAUAUCAUUUUACUAAGACAUACUAUUGGAAGAUACAGAGUGACAACUAAUAUUUAAAUGCAUUUUAUGUAAGUUGGCAUAUACAUUUUUAAUAAACUGUCCCAUUUAAAAAAAAAAUUGUUCUAACUAUUAUUUCAAAUGUCAGUCUUUACAGAGUAAUUGUUUCCAAUUCACCUGUAUUUUCACUUUGUUCGGAACACCAACAGUUUGUUUUAGACAGGUGUGAACAAAAAAGAUUUAGGACAUAUUUUAAAAAUUAACAUCAGAUCUGAAUGCUUGAAAAUAUAAAUAGCACAAUGUUCAGAGAACAUUCUCCAUAGCUUACUUUUACUGACCUCUGACCUCAAGCUAUUUACAACAAAAAAGUCCCUUCAGAAGAAAACAGGUGACAUGUGUAGGAUCUGGAUUUUGGCAGGGUUCCCGAAUCUCAUCCAGCACUUCCUUCACCUGUUGCUCUGAUAACACACCCUUCCAGCGCAGCAGACCAGGUACAUACUGCUCACUGCAAAACAAUCAGAAGAAGACUUCACUUUCAUCUGAUGAAAACAAAAUCACUCAUUCUCUGUCUGAAUACUCACACAAUGAAAACAGCUACAUUUAAUCAAAUGUGAAUUCAUGUUUGCAUUUGUAGUGAAGCGUUAAUUGUUGAUCUGGGUUUAC
Molecule: long non-coding RNA, 1749 nt
Organism: Cyprinus carpio carpio
Lineage: Eukaryota; Metazoa; Chordata; Actinopteri; Cypriniformes; Cyprinidae
Source: Ensembl